UAAAUACUCCCUCCGUCCCGAAAUACUUGGCAGACAAAUGAAUGUAUCUAAAUGUAUUUUAGUUGUAGAUACAUCUAUUUUUAUCCAUUUCUUCGACAAGUAUUUUGGGAUGGAGGGAGUACAAG
Molecule: non-coding RNA, 125 nt
Organism: Triticum aestivum (bread wheat)
Lineage: Eukaryota; Viridiplantae; Streptophyta; Magnoliopsida; Poales; Poaceae
Source: Rfam